This 465-nucleotide ribosomal RNA is filed under the name Vreelandella stevensii. RNAcentral's name for it is "partial 16S ribosomal RNA". It matches the Rfam family "Bacterial small subunit ribosomal RNA", at positions 338 to 795 of the family's 1533-position model. Lineage: Bacteria; Pseudomonadati; Pseudomonadota; Gammaproteobacteria; Oceanospirillales; Halomonadaceae. The record is from RNAcentral.
CCUACGGGUGGCAGCAGUGGGGAAUAUUGGACAAUGGGGGCAACCCUGAUCCAGCCAUGCCGCGUGUGUGAAGAAGGCCCUCGGGUUGUAAAGCACUUUCAGUGAGGAAGAACGCCUGGUGGUUAAUACCCAUCAGGAAAGACAUCACUCACAGAAGAAGCACCGGCUAACUCCGUGCCAGCAGCCGCGGUAAUACGGAGGGUGCGAGCGUUAAUCGGAAUUACUGGGCGUAAAGCGCGCGUAGGUGGCUUGAUAAGCCGGUUGUGAAAGCCCCGGGCUCAACCUGGGAACGGCAUCCGGAACUGUCAAGCUAGAGUGCAGGAGAGGAAGGUAGAAUUCCCGGUGUAGCGGUGAAAUGCGUAGAGAUCGGGAGGAAUACCAGUGGCGAAGGCGGCCUUCCGGACUGACACUGACACUGAGGUGCGAAAGCGUGGGUAGCAAACAGGAUUAGAUACCCUUGUAGUC